GACGAACGCUGGCGGCGUGCUUAACACAUGCAAGUCGAACGGAAAGGCCCUGCUCUUGUGGGGUGCUCGAGUGGCGAACGGGUGAGUAACACGUGAGUAACCUGCCCUUGACUUUGGGAUAACUUCAGGAAACUGGGGCUAAUACCGGAUAGGAGCUCCUGCUGCAUGGUGGGGGUUGGAAAGUUUCGGCGGUUGGGGAUGGACUCGCGGCUUAUCAGCUUGUUGGUGGGGUAGUGGCUACCAAGGCUUUGACGGGUAGCCGGCCUGAGAGGGUGACCGGCCGCAUUGGGACUGAGAUACGGCCCAGACUCCUACGGGAGGCAGCAGUGGGGAAUAUUGCACAAUGGGCGGAAGCCUGAUGCAGCAACGCCGCGUGCGGGAUGACGGCCUUCGGGUUGUAAACCGCUUUCGCCUGUGACGAAGCGUGAGUGACGGUAAUGGGUAAAGAAGCACCGGCUAACUACGUG
Molecule: ribosomal RNA, 467 nt
Filed under: uncultured bacterium
Lineage: Bacteria
Description: partial 16S ribosomal RNA
Rfam family: Bacterial small subunit ribosomal RNA
Source: RNAcentral